RNAcentral lists this long non-coding RNA (5548 nucleotides) under Manihot esculenta (cassava). RNAcentral's name for it is "long non-coding RNA (MESC_LNC010008)". Lineage: Eukaryota; Viridiplantae; Streptophyta; Magnoliopsida; Malpighiales; Euphorbiaceae. The record is from RNAcentral.
AUUAUAAAUAUUUUAAAAUAUUUAAACAGAAUAUCGGUAUUGACAAUACUGAAGACCAUGGCAUUUCGGAUGGGAGCCAAUCAAGUGAUAAAGGAAGUGGAAUCAUAUUUGAAGACCUGAUGAUGCAUAAAGAUGGCUGGGAAACUGAGGGAAAGAGUGAAGCAGAAUUAUUCAAUUUCUGGAAAACUGCAUGCAAAGCCAGAGGGUCAACACAUUCACCGUUAUAUUUUCAUUAAUAUAAAAUUUUAAAAACUAUAUUAUAAUUUACUAUUAAUUUUUGUAUUUAAUUUAAUACUCUUAAUUAUAAUUGUAAUAAAUUAAAAAAAAUAACUUUAUUAUUCAAAUUUUAAAAUUUUUAAUAUAAAUAUGAAUUAAUAUAAAUAUUUAAAAUUUUUUAUUUAAUAAAUAUUUUAAAAAAUGAUUCUAUUGUAUGAUAUAUAAGCUCUAACUUUUUAAAUCAAAAUUAAUUAAGACAUAUAAAUUUUUGGAUGAUUAAUUAUUAUUCAACAUUUAAAUUUUUUUCUAUUACUAAUAAACCUCAGAACCUAUCUAAAAGGACGUUAAUACAUGCUUUGAAUUCUUCGCGCCAGGUGUCAGCCAUGGCAACAUUCUUGUUGCCAGUUGCCACCUCCUCUUGCUCUCUCUCACUCUUUCCGUUUAAAACUCUAAAGAUUCUAUGGAUUUUGCUCUCUCUGUUCUUCAAGUGGGAUGAGUAAAGACAGUAGAUCUAAUCGCCUACUUUCCUCAGCAAAUGACUAUCCUUAUGAUCUUCGUCAGUAGACCUUUCUCUCUCUGCAAAUGGGUAUUUACGUUUGCUCUGAAAACCUUGUCUAUUGUGAUUAACACUUGGGUGGAGUUGAUUGUAUCCUCUAUCACUUUCCAUCUGAAUAUGUUCCACAAGGCUAUGAUAUGGAUGAUUGCUCUUAUUUCUCUUCCUAUGCAAGUUUUGACUGCCUUGCAGAGGGAACGCCUGGUUAGUUACUCAAUCCUCUCUAUCUCUCUCUCUCUUUCGCACUUACACACACAGUCAUUAGCAAUGUAAAUUUGUGCCGCAUAUGUUCAAUUCAAGAUUGGUCUUGUACCCAUUUAGCAGCGUCCUCUGAAAAUUGCAUCACAAUGUUUAUAUGAAAUAAAAUUGCAUCUUUUGGAAGAACUUUAUAAUUUCUAGCUUGUUUUGGCUUCAAUACCACUGCUCCUAUCAACAUUUGAAGUUAAAAAAUUAGCUGUGGAAGUUUCAUGAGAGUUAUAAUUAUUAUUGUUGUUGUUAUUAUUUCUUACUGAUUUCAUAUAUAAUAGUGUAUGUAUGUAGUAGAGUUUUCCAAAUGCUCUUUUAAGUUUGAUAGGAGCUAGACCAGGGUUUUAAAUUGCUGUCGCAGCCACGUUCGUGGUUGCUGUCGCGGGUAACAGAAACAACAGCCUUAUAAAAGUUGUAACGAAAUGGUAACGGCUGGAGAUGUGCAAAUUUUUUUAAAAAAUUUUGCAAAGUUUAUGAAAAUAAGUAAAUAUUGAUAGAUAUAUGUAAGAUUAAGAUAUAUAACUAUAUAAUAGGUAUGCACACAUCAAAUAAAGACUACUAAUUCUGACACGGAGCAACUAGUCUCGGCAGACUUAGAUCCGGCCUAACUUUUGCUGCGGACGUUCGAGAGGGCCACAUGCCCGCCCGUCACAAAGUUAAAUAUGAAAAUUCUAUUAUUUAGGGGAUUAAUUUUGCAUUUUAAUUAUUUUUUGGAUAUUUUUAUAAUUUUGCAUAUAAGAUUUUUCGGUUUCUACCUUAUAUUUUCUCUUAUAUCGUCUCAAUAGUCAUUUAUCAAAUUCAUUCUUAAACAUCAUCAAAUUUUCCCUAAUGUAUAGCUAAGAUAAUUGCGUUGGUAGCAAAAAAGCUAAAAACUAAAAGCAAUAAGUAACGAAAGCAGAGGGUUUAAGUAUAACUUUAACAACAAAACUAACAUCAACGAGAGCUUUAAUCAAUAAAUAUUUAAAAAAGGACUAAAACUAUGAGUAAUGAAAAGCAAAAAACAGAAAAGUUAACUCAUCUUUUAGAAAAACUAGCUAGAUAUUGUUUGAUGAUUCUUAGCUUAAUAGGAGAGAGAAGAAAUUUGAGUGAUAAAUUGAGAGAUUGUGAAGGAAAAAACACCCUGUUGCUAUCUAAAGCUUGCUGGAAAGAAGAAAAUGGCAGAUUGCAGUGUUGCAUGUGAUUGUAUGAAGGCCUUUGCCUUUAAGUAACAGUUGGUAACGACAGUAAAAAUCCCGUUACAUGACCUAACGGCCAUUAUUUAAUUCCAUGAGCUAGACUGUCUUAGGUUCAGUCUUAGAAUCAUAUUAUUUCAAGGUAAGUGGUAAAGGUUUUUGUAUUUUAUGAACUGUUCCUUCUGUGGAUUUGUUGCUGUAUUUUUUAGCUGCAAGAGCAUUUGCAUGAGAUGCGGAUUGAGUUGGAGAGUCUUGUGUGGGAUAGGAAGGUAUUGCAAGACCAACUCCAUACAGCAAUUAAAGAAUGUAGAAUUUUGGAAGCAAUGCUGGCAGAAGUUGAAGAGGAAAAUGACACUGUUAUUUCCAGAAUUGACUUGCUAGAGCGUGAGGUUGUGAUUUUAUCUUUCUUCAAGCUUGUUUUUUGUUUUUUUUGAACAGAGGAGAACUUAUGUUUAUAUUCCCAUGCUUUCUGGAGUAAUGUUGGCUGUUGAGAUUUAAAUUUUAUUCAUAAUAUUACCCAUUUAUAAGAUUAUUUUUUGCAACUUGCUUUAAACCUUUUGAAGAGGUAAAACUAGAGUUUGUUUUCUUCAAAGCAUGCAUUAAGGAGAAGUAGCUUCAUCAUUGUGAAAGAUCAGAUAGAAGUUAAGUUCUAAAAUGAAGUUUUACAUAGAAAAUGCCUUGAUGGGAUAUUGCUACUCUACAGUCAGAUGAGUCAAGUGCUUUUAAUAGAACUCCCUUUGUAAGGAUAUUGCUACUCUAACUGCUACCUUAGGUUCUUGAUCCUUAAUAAUCUUAAUCAUCAAAAGUGAGUUAUACCUACAUCUUUGUAUAAAGAAAAGAUUCAUAAUGUUUUAAAAGAUACUUUAUGAAUAAAAACUAAAAGAUCACAUACAUUCUUUUUCCCAAGAUGCUAGCAUCUUCUGAAUAGGUCCUCACCAAUCACCAAGUGAAAGGAUUGGGCUGCAAUUAGAGUUCAGGCUCCCCUAUAGGGAGGGAGAUACAAUCAAUCAUUCUUCCUCUCUUACUGAAAUCUGAACAGUUCAAAGUUGAUUUUUGAGAGAGAAAUUGACUUAGAAGUGAUGCAACAGCUAGGUAAAAUGGCAGGAAGAAUAGUGGAGAUUACAUGUGCAUGGCCCCAUCCUUCAUCUUCAUUGAAUAUUGAGAAUUCAAUGGGUUCAACUAUAUGAUCCUUAUGAGGUUAGUCAGAAACACCUUUCAUCUAUGCUGUAAUAUGGACUUUAGUUAUGUGUUCCUUUUUAAGAUAAUGCCUGCUAUUAUGUGCUUUCUAUCCACAAUUUUACGCCUAAAUGGCAUCUUCUUUUAAUCAAUUGUCUAUAGAAGUUUGGAAAACCUGGUCGGCAGGCUAUACAGUUUGUCUAAUGCUAGGCAUUGUUGUAGUAUCUUGUCUAACUUCAUUGUGUCACUUAACGUAUGGAAGAAACUUUAUCGUCUUUAACUUCAAUUAGUAUACUAUAAUCAAGUCUCUACAAAUACUCUAUAGUCUAUUUCCACCUGAAAAUUGCAUUGAAAAAUUACCUUGUGGAAUUAUAGGCAUGUCCAUCUUUUAUACACUGGAGAGAGUUUACAAUUUGGAAUAUAACUCCUUUUCUUCAUCAGUUGUCUUAGGAAUGAAGUAUUGGAAUUGGCUUGUGCAAAAUUCUACUAUUGUCGGUAAAUCCAUUCAAGCAAUGAGUAAACCAUACUUUCCGUCGAUUCUUCAUAUUGUGAAGAUUAUAUAUUUUUUUUAAAGGAAACUCCAUUGAGCUAAUUAUCAGAAUCUUUAGAUAAUUCUUUUCUAGCUGAAUUUUGGAUUGAUUUUAGCUCCAUAGUCUUAAGAAGGUCUUUUGACAUAUUUACUAUGAUAAUCAAAUCAGAAAUUCAGACCAUUGAUCAAUACUUGAGAACCUUACUGCUCUUGUCUCUUUUUUUUAACCCCCUCUAGUACUCUUUCUUUCUCAUAAGCAGAAUAUUUCUUCCCCCUCCUUUUCCUCUGUUUCGUACCUUACCUGAGUUGCAAUGUCAUUUUUAAGAAUUUGAUGUCUCAACUAACCAGCAACAACAGAAUUAAGGCACCCUUUCUUAAAAUAAGUUUAUCAACCAAGAAUAAGUUGUGGCAAUGCAACAAGCCCAAGUCAAUGUAUAGUUGAACAUUAUAUGCAGAAAGUUCUGGCAACCCCAGUUAGAAAAUUUGGCACCAAAAGUGACAAGUGACAUAAGUGAGGAAUUAUAGCUUUCAAUUGCAGUCCAGUUAUCAUGACAUACCCGGUAUACAAUGAUAGCCAUGUAGCUGAGAGAUGAAGAUGAAAUUUGGCAAAGAUCAUGAGAGAGCAGCUGUGAGAAAAUAUAAAAAGUUGAUUCAGGGAUGUCAGUAGGUUGUGGAAAUGGAGAUUGGGAGAAAAAACUCUAUGUAAACUAGAAGUCUGAGGAGCUUCUUCAGUUAGUAUUAGUUGAGUGCAACUUCACAUGAGAUCCCUUGUUUUUGAGCUAUAAUUGCAACAACUUAUCAAGAAUAAACCAUAUCAUUCUCUCAAGAGUUAGCUUGAAUAUGUGGGAAUCGAUUUGGUCUUGUUUCCUGACUACCUUGAUUUUCUUUAUGACUCUGUGUAAUGGCAGGCAGUACUAAGAUUUUAGCUCUGAUGCAUACUUGAUUUAAAAUAAAACCCCAUCCGUCCUAGAAAACAAAUGUGCAAAUUUACAUAUUAAACUUUUUGUUCCUAUGAUGUUAAAAGAAGAAUAAGACAAGUGAAUAGGACCCUUCUGACCAAGUUUGAGCCACAAUCCAUUUCUUUUUCUAUGAGGAGGUGAGUACACAGCAUGAAAUGCACUAUUAUCUUAUUACAUUUUUGCCUUUCUUUCUUUACAUCAUUUGUCCAGUUCAAAGAAUCCUGAAGCUUUUGAUUUUGGGUUCUUGUUUAUUAGUAUCCAUAAAUUUUUUCCUUAAUAAUGUUUCAUUCAGUUGGCCAUUGACCUCUGAUGAAGCUAGUCCUUAGCCCAUGCAUGUCUUCUGUGCUUUACUAAUUAAAUGAUUUUAUGCUUUUCAAUAGUUACAGGAUCUGAAAGCUGAAAAUCUUCAGCUGAAAGAAAUUCUGGACAAAGAUCAUCGGAGCCUUAGAGGACAUAAACAGAAUAUGGGUAUUGACAAUACUGAAGACCAUGGCAUUUCGGAUGGGAGCCAAUCAAGUGAUAAAGGAAGUGGAAUCAUAUUUGAAGACCUGAUGAUGCAUAAAGAUGGCUGGGAAACUGAGGGAAAGAGUGAAGCAGAAUUAUUCAAUUUCUGGAAAACUGCAUGCAAAGCCAGAGGGUCAACACAUUCACCGUCACAUUGUAUUAUCACAAGGAACUUGGACAUGAAUGAGGGUGU